CUCUCGCGACUCCUCACUAGCGUGCUGGAUGCGCACCACGUCGGUAGCUUCCCCACGUUCUCUCGUCGCUCGCGUUAAGAACGCCAACAGCUGACUUUACGUAUAUCCACGGAGUUACUGCAGGAAAUAUCGACCGUGAUUGUUCUCUUGGCUUCUAUCGUCCGUCCUUCGCGUGCACUAUUUGCACGAGACAACAGAUAUCGCCGAGUAUAAACAAAGUGCUGGGAGAAUCAUCAUCGGG
This is a long non-coding RNA of Cephus cinctus (wheat stem sawfly), 241 nucleotides long. RefSeq lists it as uncharacterized. Lineage: Eukaryota; Metazoa; Arthropoda; Insecta; Hymenoptera; Cephidae. The record is from RefSeq and is a predicted model, not a curated record. The transcript has 2 exons.